This 87-nucleotide transfer RNA is filed under the name Candidatus Daviesbacteria bacterium. Its description in RNAcentral is "tRNA-Leu". It matches the Rfam family "tRNA". From Rfam's summary of the family: Transfer RNA (tRNA) molecules are approximately 80 nucleotides in length. Their secondary structure includes four short double-helical elements and three loops (D, anti-codon, and T loops). Further hydrogen bonds mediate the characteristic L-shaped molecular structure. tRNAs have two regions of fundamental functional importance: the anti-codon, which is responsible for specific mRNA codon recognition, and the 3' end, to which the tRNAs corresponding amino acid is attached (by aminoacyl-tRNA synthetases). tRNAs cope with the degeneracy of the genetic code in two manners: having more than one tRNA (with a specific anti-codon) for a particular amino acid; and 'wobble' base-pairing, i.e. permitting non-standard base-pairing at the 3rd anti-codon position. Lineage: Bacteria; Candidatus Daviesiibacteriota. The record is from RNAcentral.
GGGCGGGUGACGGAAUUGGUAUACGUGUAUGCUUGAGGUGCAUAUGGUCGCAAGACUGUGCAGGUUCAAGUCCUGUCCCGCCCACCA